RNAcentral lists this ribosomal RNA (253 nucleotides) under uncultured bacterium. RNAcentral describes it as "partial 16S ribosomal RNA". It matches the Rfam family "Bacterial small subunit ribosomal RNA", at positions 524 to 776 of the family's 1533-position model. The record is from RNAcentral.
UACGUAGGGGGCAAGCGUUGUCCGGAUUUACUGGGCGUAAAGAGCGUGUAGGCGGCCAAACAGGUCCGUUGUGAAAACUGGAGGCUCAACCUCCAGACGUCGACGGAAACCGUGUGGCUAGAGUCCGGAAGAGGAGAGUGGAAUUCCUGGUGUAGCGGUGAAAUGCGUAGAUAUCGAGAGGAACACCUGCGGCGAAGGCGGGUUGCUGGGCCGACACUGACGCUGAUGCGCGAAAGCCAGGGGAGCGAACGGG